Molecule: ribosomal RNA, 384 nt
Filed under: uncultured prokaryote
Description: bacterial SSU rRNA
Rfam family: Archaeal small subunit ribosomal RNA
Source: RNAcentral
GCGAAAACUUUACAAUGCUGGCAACAGCGAUAAGGGAACCUCAAGUGCCAGGUUACAAAUCUGGCUGUCGAGAUGCCUAAAAAGCAUUUCAUAGCAAGGGCCGGGCAAGACCGGUGCCAGCCGCCGCGGUAACACCGGCGGCUCGAGCGGUAACCGUUAUUAUUGGGUCUAAAGGGUCUGUAGCCGGCCGGAUAAGUCUCUUGAGAAAUCUGGCAGCUUAACUGUCAGGCUUUCAGGAGAUACUGUCUGGCUCGAGGCCGGGAGAGGUGAGAGGUACUUCAGGGGUAGGGGUGAAAUCUUGUAAUCCUUGAAGGACCACCAGUGGCGAAGGCGUCUCACCAGAACGGACCUGACGGCAAGGGACGAAAGCUAGGGGCACGAACC